Molecule: long non-coding RNA, 726 nt
Filed under: Numida meleagris (helmeted guineafowl)
Lineage: Eukaryota; Metazoa; Chordata; Aves; Galliformes; Numididae
Description: lncRNA (ENSNMEG00000000122.1)
Source: RNAcentral
AUAACUUCAGAUAUUUAUUUCAAUUCUCUUGAAACUAACGUUAGGAUAUUCUCCUAUGAAGUAGAGGACCACAUUUUAGAUCUCUUUUCAGCAGUUUUUACCCCUUCUAUGUCUCCUACCAAGCAAAUAUCCUACUACGUUGUCCAGGCUGUAUUCAUCUUCAUUUUUGGGAUCUGGUACAAUUACUACUUAAGCAGCUUAUACAAAAUAACAUCAAUGUAUGCUGAAUAAGAAAAAGAGAGCAUAAAAUCCCCCUGAAUAUUGAAUGCUGGGUAUUUCUAAUGACUGCCACUACACUGAAGCAAUCCAUCAGCUCUGCCUCAGCCUCUCCCACAUUCCCUGUGUGCAGGGGCUUCCCCUCUGCCUUUUCUCCAGAGAAAGGUCCUCUGAAACCCACAUCCAGGCAUUUGCACUGUCUGCAGCACUUAGGAUUCUUGGAAAGAUGGAGAUGUGAUAGGGGAGGUGAUGCCCCAGGACCCACAGGACAGUUACAUUUCCCCCUCUUUACUGAGAUUUUGGAGUGAUGAAGAAAAAUGAGAUGCCAAAAAUUGAGAUGACCACUACUGUAGUCAACAUGGGAUGGAAUGAAAGUAUGAUACUGUUUUUAGUCAUGGCUUUAAAUUCCAAGUAUUUGAAGCACGUUCUUCGCAAGUAAGACAAAUGUUUUGGUAAGCUACAUGAUUUCCCAUGCUAAUAACACUUAUUCAUGAUGGUAGAAGUACAGUG